Molecule: ribosomal RNA, 241 nt
Filed under: uncultured bacterium
Lineage: Bacteria
Description: partial 16S ribosomal RNA
Rfam family: Bacterial small subunit ribosomal RNA
Source: RNAcentral
GAUCAUGGCUCAGGAUGAACGCUGGCGGCGUGCUUAACACAUGCAAGUCGAGCGAAGCACUUAAGUUUGAUUCUUCGGAUGAAGACUUUUGUGACUGAGCGGCGGACGGGUGAAGGUAACGCGUGGGUAACCUGCCUCAUACAGGGGGAUAACAGUUAGAAAUGACUGCUAAUACCGCAUAAGACCACGGUACCGCAUGGUACAGUGGUAAAAACUCCGGUGGUAUGAGAUGGACCCGCGU